RNAcentral lists this ribosomal RNA (440 nucleotides) under uncultured bacterium. RNAcentral describes it as "partial 16S ribosomal RNA". It matches the Rfam family "Bacterial small subunit ribosomal RNA", at positions 339 to 795 of the family's 1533-position model. The record is from RNAcentral.
CUACGGGGUGCUGCAGUAGGGAAUAUUGCACAAUCGACGAAAGUCUGAUGCAGCAACGCCGCGUGUGCGAUGAAGGCCCUCGGGUUGUAAAGCACUUUUCUGAGGGAAGAGAAAGGACGGUACCUCAGGAAUAAGUCUCGGCUAACUACGUGCCAGCAGCCGCGGUAAUACGUAGGAGGCGAGCGUUAUCCGGAUUUAUUGGGCGUAAAGCGCGUGCAGGUGGUUUGGUAAGUUGGGUAUGAAAUCUUCUGGCUUAACUAGGAGAGGUUGCUCAAAACUGCCAGACUAGAGGACGGUAGAGGAAGGUGGAAUUCCCGGUGUAGUAGUGAAAUGCGUAGAUAUCGGGAGGAACACCAGUGGCGAAGGCGGCCUUCUGGGCCGUUCCUGACACUAAGACGCGAAAGCAUGGGUAGCAAACGGGAUUAGAUACCCCUGUAGUC